GGUGGCCUACGUGCACGUCUUCAUCUCUUCGUGCUGCAGGCCUCCAGUAGCAUAAACGAAACGCAAUCUUUGAAGGGAAAAAGGAAAUGGAGAGAGAGAGAGAGAAAACGGCAUAAACUACCUACUUCCGGUCUAGAAGGGAACUGACGUGCAUGAUGUUUUAGUACGAAAGUAAUAGACAUUUAAUGUUUGAAAAAAUGGUUUUUGAUGGUGGUGUAUGUCUGAUAUCAAAUUCUAUUUUGAACAGUACUGUUAGAUUUGAUAAUAUAAUUUAUAUUUAUUAUUACAU
Caenorhabditis elegans is the source of this 289-nucleotide non-coding RNA. The record is from Ensembl. Lineage: Eukaryota; Metazoa; Nematoda; Chromadorea; Rhabditida; Rhabditidae.